Molecule: ribosomal RNA, 472 nt
Filed under: uncultured organism
Description: bacterial SSU rRNA
Rfam family: Bacterial small subunit ribosomal RNA
Source: RNAcentral
AUUGAACGCUGGCGGCAGGCCUAACACAUGCAAGUCGAGCGGGGUUUUCGGACCUAGCGGCGGACGGGUGAGUAAUGCGUAGGAAGCUGCCCGAUAGAGGGGGAUACCAGUUGGAAACGACUGUUAAUACCGCAUAAUGUCUACGGACCAAAGUGUGGGACCUUCGGGCCACAUGCUAUCGGAUGCGCCUACGUGGGAUUAGCUAGUUGGUGAGGUAAUGGCUCACCAAGGCGACGAUCUCUAGCUGGUUUGAGAGGAUGAUCAGCCACACUGGAACUGAGACACGGUCCAGACUCCUACGGGAGGCAGCAGUGGGGAAUAUUGGACAAUGGGCGCAAGCCUGAUCCAGCCAUGCCGCGUGUGUGAAGAAGGCCUUCGGGUUGUAAAGCACUUUCAGCGAGGAGGAAGGGUGGUGUGUUAAUAGCACAUCAUUUUGACGUUACUCGCAGAAGAAGCACCGGCUAACUCUGUG